RNAcentral lists this ribosomal RNA (216 nucleotides) under Staphylococcus aureus. RNAcentral describes it as "partial 16S ribosomal RNA". It matches the Rfam family "Bacterial small subunit ribosomal RNA", at positions 1319 to 1533 of the family's 1533-position model. The record is from RNAcentral. Lineage: Bacteria; Bacillati; Bacillota; Bacilli; Caryophanales; Staphylococcaceae.
CAUGAAGCUGGAAUCGCUAGUAAUCGUAGAUCAGCAUGCUACGGUGAAUACGUUCCCGGGUCUUGUACACACCGCCCGUCACACCACGAGAGUUUGUAACACCCGAAGCCGGUGGAGUAACCUUUUAGGAGCUAGCCGUCGAAGGUGGGACAAAUGAUUGGGGUGAAGUCGUAACAAGGUAGCCGUAUCGGAAGGUGCGGCUGGAUCACCUCCUUU